CCACUUGCCAGACAACCGUACAUAAAAGUAGAACAACCUACAUACUACAGAGGUGCAAUCUCAGCGUCAACCACAUCACAUGCUUCAGCAUAUGGAGGAGACUAAACCAACUAGACAUUUUUCUUCAUUUCAGCACCCCAUGUAUAACUCUAGGUACCUGCAGAAUAAUCAAUGUCAUGUCAGUAACCCAAAUUGUACUACUCACUCCCAAAAGAAGUCAAAUUUUGCACGAUUCCAAUAAUACAUUUUAACUUUGCCAUUGUGCAAAUUAUACAAAAGAAUCUAAAGCUGAAUCAUUGUGUGAACCAAAAUUAUACUAUUAGAAGAAAAGAAAAAUUCAAACGGAGAACAACAAUAGAAGAAAAAUUAUUCUGUAAUGGUUGACAGCAUACCUUCAACCUCUCUAGUUGAAAUGUCCUUAUGAUUUUUUGCUACAUGAGUACAUAUGAUCGCAGUAGAUCAUAAAAGAUCAUUGACUGAAUGCCUCAAAGAGAGGCAAACACUAGACUUCUUACAUUGUUCUAGAUCAACAGCAUACUAUUUAGAAAUGUGGUAUCUAGACAGUCUAGAAAUUAUUCACAUUCAUGCAUUACAACCUACAACAAUAAAUCAUGCAUAAUCUUCUAAACUAAGUAUACAAGACAAAAAAAAUGCUGCCUUAAAGACAUACGCAUAACAUGAAGAUAAAUUUACCUCACUCAUUCAACCAAGAUAGCACAUUACUACAUCACAAGAGUUCAAAGUUCCAGCUCCACCCAUUUCCACCCAACUCCCCUGCCUAAAACCAAAA
RNAcentral lists this long non-coding RNA (790 nucleotides) under Triticum aestivum (bread wheat). RNAcentral's name for it is "long non-coding RNA (TAES_LNC003979)". Lineage: Eukaryota; Viridiplantae; Streptophyta; Magnoliopsida; Poales; Poaceae. The record is from RNAcentral.